UGCAUUUUGGUGUAUGACGCACGUAAAUUUUUGAUAUUUAAGGAUCUUAGUUUAAAUCUAUCAGGUGUAA
Molecule: transfer RNA, 70 nt
Filed under: Balta maculata
Lineage: Eukaryota; Metazoa; Arthropoda; Insecta; Blattodea; Pseudophyllodromiidae
Description: tRNA-Gln
Source: RNAcentral